UGAAUGGAAUAUUUUAUUUCUAAAUGGAAGUAAUAACACAAAAUUUUGAAAAGAAUCUGAAAAAUACUGUUUAAAGUGUAAAAAGAUUUAAGAGAAUUUGUAAUAAAACUGAUUCCCAUAUGGAUUUCUGAAAUAAAUCACUCCAGUUUCUUGAUGAUGCUGUCAACAGUGGAACUUUUUAUUGUGUCUAGUCUAAUACUAGGCCAUGAUCCAGGCCAGUGGAGAGACUAAAACGGAAAAAGUAUCUCAGCAAAAUCAAGAUGACAACUUCAUUAAUAAUGAGCAAUCAGAAUUAAGUCAAAUUGGACAUUCCUUAAUAUCAGAACAAAUUAUUUCUAAUCAAGAGUCACCAACUGAAAUACAGACUUAUAAUCAACAGAUUAUUUUAUCUCAACAUGUUUUUCCAGAAG
RNAcentral lists this long non-coding RNA (410 nucleotides) under Androctonus crassicauda. The record is from RNAcentral. Lineage: Eukaryota; Metazoa; Arthropoda; Arachnida; Scorpiones; Buthidae.